GAUGAACGCUGGCGGCGUGCUUAACACAUGCAAGUCGAACGGAAAGGCCCAAGCUUGCUUGGGUCCUCGAGUGGCGAACGGGUGAGUAACACGUGUGGGAUCUGCCCUGCACUUCGGGAUAAGCCUGGGAAACUGGGUCUAAUACCGGAUAGGACGAUGGUUUGGAUGCCAUUGUGGAAAGUUUUUUCGUUGUGGGAUGAGCUCGCGGCCUAUCAGCGUGUUGGUGGGGUAAUGGCCUACCAAGGCGUCGACGGGGAGCCGGCCUGAGAGGGUGUACGGCCACAGUGGGACCGAGAGACGGGCAAGAGUCCGGAGGGAGGCAGCAGGGGGGAAUAUUGGACAAUGGGAGCAAGCCUGAUGCAGCGACGCCGCGUGGGGGAUGACGGCCUUCGGGUUGUAAACUCCUUUCGCUAGGGACGAAGCGUUUUUGUGACGGUACCUGGAGAAGAAGCACCGGCUAACUACGUG
This 468-nucleotide ribosomal RNA is filed under the name uncultured bacterium. RNAcentral describes it as "partial 16S ribosomal RNA". It matches the Rfam family "Bacterial small subunit ribosomal RNA", at positions 28 to 507 of the family's 1533-position model. The record is from RNAcentral.